Molecule: long non-coding RNA, 515 nt
Filed under: Fukomys damarensis (Damara mole-rat)
Lineage: Eukaryota; Metazoa; Chordata; Mammalia; Rodentia; Bathyergidae
Description: lncRNA (ENSFDAG00000025834.1)
Source: RNAcentral
GACUCAGAGACGCCGGGUCCCCCGCCUGCUCCCUACCCGGCUAGGUCUGGCCCCGAGAGGUCCCGAAGCCCAUCUUCUGUCCCCGACUCCUACCUCGGGGCUGAGAUGCAGCUAACCGCGGUGCGCCCCGACGCCCGGCCACCUUCGAGCCUGGAGCUAGCCGAGGUGUCUGGCCACCGCCGGCGUCAAGAACAAAGGCUGCCUGUCCCGGGAGGGGGAGGGGAGGGAGCCGCCCCCAGACCCGCUCCGGGCUCCUUUCCUUCCCCCAACUGCGGCACAAGCUCCCCGGGGAGGGGGCGGGGCCGGCCGGGCUGGGCGCAGACGAGCAUCAGCUCCUCCUCCACCGUCCUCGGCUAGGAUGGCACCCGAGCUUUCCAGGGAGAGCAGGGAUAAGGGUACCCCCAAACUGUCGUCACUGGGGUGGUUCUUCCUUCUUCCCCUGCAUCCCGGGCGCCCCGCCCCCGCGACCGCCUUGGGCGCCCUUCCCAGUCUCUGCAGCGCCCGGCCGCCCCAGA